UGCAGUAGAACGCUGAAGACUUUAGCUUGCUAAAGUUGGAAGAGUUGCGAACGGGUGAGUAACGCGUAGGUAACCUGCCUACUAGCGGGGGAUAACUAUUGGAAACGAUAGCUAAUACCGCAUAACAGCAUUUAACACAUGUUAGAUGCUUGAAAGGAGCAAUUGCUUCACUAGUAGAUGGACCUGCGUUGUAUUAGCUAGUUGGUGAGGUAACGGCUCACCAAGGCGACGAUACAUAGCCGACCUGAGAGGGUGAUCGGCCACACUGGGACUGAGACACGGCCCAGACUCCUACGGGAGGCAGCAGUAGGGAAUCUUCGGCAAUGGGGGCAACCCUGACCGAGCAACGCCGCGUGAGUGAAGAAGGUUUUCGGAUCGUAAAGCUCUGUUGUAAGAGAAGAACGUGUGUGAGA
RNAcentral lists this ribosomal RNA (413 nucleotides) under Streptococcus lutetiensis. RNAcentral describes it as "bacterial SSU rRNA". It matches the Rfam family "Bacterial small subunit ribosomal RNA", at positions 56 to 460 of the family's 1533-position model. The record is from RNAcentral. Lineage: Bacteria; Bacillati; Bacillota; Bacilli; Lactobacillales; Streptococcaceae.